This 28-nucleotide non-coding RNA is filed under the name Mus musculus (house mouse). The record is from RNAcentral. Lineage: Eukaryota; Metazoa; Chordata; Mammalia; Rodentia; Muridae.
CAUCUAGGCAUUUGUCAUCCAUCGGUCU